GCGUGAGAGGUGGUGCAUUGGCCGUCGUCAGUUCGUACUGUGAAGCAUCCUGUUAAGUCAGGCAACGAGCGAGACCCAGCCCACAGUUGCCAGCGUACUCUCUGGAGUGACGGGUACACUGUGGGGACCGCCGCUGCUAAAGCGGAGGAAGGAAUGGGCAACGGUAGGUCAGUAUGCCCCGAAUAUCCCGGGCUACACGCGAGCUACAAUGGGUGGGACAAUGGGUAUCGACACCGAACGGUGAAGGCAAUCUCCUAAACCCAUCCGUAGUUCGGAUUGUGGGCUGCAACUCGCCCACAUGAAGCUGGAAUCUGUAGUAAUCGUGUCUCAAAAUGGCACGGUGAAUAUGUCCCUGCUCCUU
Molecule: ribosomal RNA, 361 nt
Filed under: uncultured Methanolinea sp.
Lineage: Archaea; Methanobacteriati; Methanobacteriota; Methanomicrobia; Methanomicrobiales; Methanoregulaceae
Description: bacterial SSU rRNA
Rfam family: Archaeal small subunit ribosomal RNA
Source: RNAcentral